AGCAGCCGCGGUAAUUCCAGCUCCAAUAGCGUAUAUUAAAGUUGUUGCAGUUAAAAAGCUCGUAGUUGAAUUUCGGGGUCAGUAGAUUGGUCGUGCCACUGGUAUGCACUGGUCUUACUGGCUCCUCCUUCCUGAUGAACCGUAAUGCCAUUAAUUUGGUGUUGCGGGGAGACUGGACUGUUACUUUGAAAGAAUUAGAGUGUUUAAAGCAGGCUAACGCUUGAAUACAUUAGCAUGGAAUAAUGAAAUAGGACGUUCGAUCUUAUUUUGUUGGUUUCUAAGAUUGACGUAAUGAUUAAUAGGGAUAGUUGGGGG
Molecule: ribosomal RNA, 315 nt
Filed under: uncultured Glomus
Lineage: Eukaryota; Fungi; Glomeromycota; Glomeromycetes; Glomerales; Glomeraceae
Description: SSU rRNA
Rfam family: Eukaryotic small subunit ribosomal RNA
Source: RNAcentral